Non-coding RNA from Neopsephotus bourkii (Bourke's parrot), 1083 nucleotides. The record is from the annotation of a RefSeq genome assembly. Lineage: Eukaryota; Metazoa; Chordata; Aves; Psittaciformes; Psittacidae.
AUGGGGCUCUACAGGCAGGCGAGCGCCGUGGGGCUGGCUAUGGGGCAGAGCGAGGCCACGUGCGCUGUGGGGCACCGGGCCACGGGGUUCAGCGGCAGCGUGGUUGUUAAUGCCCCCCUCCCCCCCCACCUCGAGCUCCUCCACUCCUGCUCGGGGGGCUCCGUCCACGUCCUCUGCUCGGCCUCGGCCUUCUCCCCUCCCCCGCUGCGCCUCCAUUGGCUCCUGGACUCGGAGCCCUUGGACCCGGCCCCGCCCCUCAUCGAGGCCCCCAAUGGGGACGGGACCUUCCGGGCCAGCGCCCGCCUCAACCUCACCGUGGACCAAUGGCAGGAGAAGACCUUGGUGUGCGCCGCCACCCACCCGGCCACCGGCACCAGCCUCCAGCUGCCCGCCACCAAGUGCUUCAGCACCCCUCCGGACUCGAGCUCCAUCCAAGUCUUCGUCCUGCCCCCGUCCCCAUUGGACCUUUACGUGUCCCAGAGCCCCCGGCUCCGCUGCAUGGCCACCAGUUUACCCAGUGACGAGGGCCUGGAGAUCACCUGGAGCAAGGACCAAGGCCAGACCCUGAGCUCCAACCUCCUCCAAGUCAAGGCCCAGUUCAACGGCACCUUCACGGCCACCAGAGAGGUCCUGGUGUCCACCAGCGACUGGGAGAACGGGGUCACCUUCACCUGCAAGGUCCAGCACAGGGACCUGCCCUCUGACAUCAGCCGCACCAUCGCCAAGAAGCCAGGCAAGCGCUUGACCCCCAGCGUGUACCUGUUCUCCCCUCCUCUGGAGGAGCUGAGCGGCUCCCGGCCCACGCUGAGCUUGACGUGCUUGGUGCGAGGCUUCUACCCAGAGUCCAUCUCGGUGGAGUGGCAGAAGAACCAGGACCCCGUGGAGGGGCGGAGCUUCCAGACGACGGCGGCCAUGAAGGAGAAGACGGGGGACGGCUCCUUCUUCCUGUACAGCCGGCUGGAGGUGACGAGGGAGGAGUGGGGCAAGGGGUCCACGUUCGUGUGCAUGGUGGUGCACGAGGCCCUGCCCAUGAGGUUCAUCCAGCGCAGCGUCAACAGGAGCCCCGGUAAAAGGAAGUGAGGU